AGCUAAUCAGCUCAGCUAGUUCUUAGCAUCCCGAUUUUAUCGGGAGGGUCGGGGGUUCGAAUCCCUCAUUUUCCA
RNAcentral lists this transfer RNA (75 nucleotides) under Pedobacter xixiisoli. RNAcentral describes it as "tRNA_Lys_TTT". It matches the Rfam family "tRNA", at positions 9 to 71 of the family's 71-position model. From Rfam's summary of the family: Transfer RNA (tRNA) molecules are approximately 80 nucleotides in length. Their secondary structure includes four short double-helical elements and three loops (D, anti-codon, and T loops). Further hydrogen bonds mediate the characteristic L-shaped molecular structure. tRNAs have two regions of fundamental functional importance: the anti-codon, which is responsible for specific mRNA codon recognition, and the 3' end, to which the tRNAs corresponding amino acid is attached (by aminoacyl-tRNA synthetases). tRNAs cope with the degeneracy of the genetic code in two manners: having more than one tRNA (with a specific anti-codon) for a particular amino acid; and 'wobble' base-pairing, i.e. permitting non-standard base-pairing at the 3rd anti-codon position. Lineage: Bacteria; Pseudomonadati; Bacteroidota; Sphingobacteriia; Sphingobacteriales; Sphingobacteriaceae. The record is from RNAcentral.